RNAcentral lists this ribosomal RNA (253 nucleotides) under uncultured bacterium. RNAcentral's name for it is "partial 16S ribosomal RNA". It matches the Rfam family "Bacterial small subunit ribosomal RNA", at positions 524 to 776 of the family's 1533-position model. The record is from RNAcentral.
UACGUAGGUGGCAAGCGUUGUCCGGAUUUACUGGGCGUAAAGAGCGCGCAGGCGGUCGAUCAAGUCGCGUGUUAAAGCCCCCGGCUCAACUGGGGAGGGUCACGCGAUACUGAUCGACUCGAAGGCAGGAGAGGGUAGUGGAAUUCCCGGUGUAGUGGUGAAAUGCGUAGAUAUCGGGAGGAACACCAGUGGCGAAGGCGACUACCUGGCCUGUUCUUGACGCUGAGGCGCGAAAGCUAGGGGAGCAAACGGG